This 71-nucleotide transfer RNA is filed under the name Enterococcus faecium. Its description in RNAcentral is "tRNA-Glu". It matches the Rfam family "tRNA". Rfam says of the family: Transfer RNA (tRNA) molecules are approximately 80 nucleotides in length. Their secondary structure includes four short double-helical elements and three loops (D, anti-codon, and T loops). RNAcentral also lists the same sequence under 19 other names. Lineage: Bacteria; Bacillati; Bacillota; Bacilli; Lactobacillales; Enterococcaceae. The record is from RNAcentral.
GCCCGUUGGUCAAGCGGUUAAGACACCGCCCUUUCACGGCGGUAACACGGGUUCGAAUCCCGUACGGGUCA